GAUGAACGCUGGCGGCGUGCCUAAUACAUGCAAGUCGAGCGAACGGACGAGAAGCUCGCUUUUCUGUUGUUAGCGGCGGACGGGUGAGUAACACGUGGCUAACCUACCUCUAUGACUGGGACAACUUCGGGAAACCGGAGCUAAUACCGGUACAUAUUUUGAACUGCAUGGUUCAAGAGUGAAAGAUGCUGUUGCUGUAACUUAUAGAGGGAUCCGCGCUGCAUUAGCUAGUUGGUAAGGUAACGGCUUACCAAGGCAACGAUGCCUAGCCGACCUGAGCGGGUGAUCGGCCACACUGGAACUGAGACACGGUCCAGACUCCUACGGGAGGCAGCAGUAGGGAAGCGUCCGCAAUGGGCGAAAGCCUGACGGAGCGACGCCGCGUGAGUGAUGAAGGUCUUCGGAUCGUAAGACUCUGUUAUUGGGGAAGACCAUAUGUGUAAGUAACUGUGCACAUCUUGACGGUACCUGAACAGAAAGCCACGGCUAACUACGUG
Molecule: ribosomal RNA, 497 nt
Filed under: uncultured bacterium
Lineage: Bacteria
Description: partial 16S ribosomal RNA
Rfam family: Bacterial small subunit ribosomal RNA
Source: RNAcentral